AUUACCCACUCCCGGCACGGGGAGGUAGUGACGAAAAUAACGAUACGGGACUCAWCCGAGGCCCCGUAAUCGGAAUGAGUACACUCUAAACCCUUUAACGAGGAUCAAUUGGAGGGCAAGUCUGGUGCCAGCAGCCGCGGUAAUUCCAGCUCCAAUAGCGUAUAUAAAAGUUGUUGCGGUUAAAAAGCUCGUAGUCGAAUCUGUGUCUUGCGCCGCCGGUGCAUCGCUCGCGGUGUUUAACUGGCGUGUCCGCGAGACGUCCUGCCGGUGGGCUUAGCCCGGCAACGGGCGGCCCAACUUGAAAUCCCACCGCGGUGCUCUUGAUUGAGUGUCGAGGUGGGCCGGCACGUUUACUUUGAACAAAUUAGAGUGCUUAAAGCAGGCUAAAACUUCGCCUGAAUACUGUGUGCAUGGAAUAAUGGAAUAGGACCUCGGUUCUAUUUUGUUGGUUUUCGGAACCCCGAGGUAAUGAUUAAUAGGAACGGAUGGGGGCAUUCGUAUUGCGACGUUAGAGGUGAAAUUCUUGGAUCGUCGCAAGACGGACAGAAGCGAAAGCAUUUGCCAAAAACGCUUUCAUUGAUCAAGAACGAAAGUUAGAGGUUCGAAGGCGAUCAGAUACCGCCCUAGUUCUAACCAUAAACGAUGCCAGCUAGCGAUCCGCCGACGUUCCUCCGAUGACUCGGCGGGCAGCUUCCGGGAAACCAAAGCUUUUGGGUUCCGGGG
RNAcentral lists this ribosomal RNA (723 nucleotides) under Berosus pallidipennis. RNAcentral describes it as "SSU rRNA". The record is from RNAcentral. Lineage: Eukaryota; Metazoa; Arthropoda; Insecta; Coleoptera; Hydrophilidae.